This 253-nucleotide ribosomal RNA is filed under the name uncultured bacterium. RNAcentral's name for it is "partial 16S ribosomal RNA". It matches the Rfam family "Bacterial small subunit ribosomal RNA", at positions 524 to 776 of the family's 1533-position model. The record is from RNAcentral.
UACGAAGGGGGCUAGCGUUGCUCGGAAUCACUGGGCGUAAAGGGCGCGUAGGCGGCGUUUUAAGUCGGGGGUGAAAGCCUGUGGCUCAACCGCAGAAUGGCCUUCGAUACUGGGACGCUUGAGGAUGGUAGAGGUUGGUGGAACUGCGAGUGUAGAGGUGAAAUUCGUAGAUAUUCGCAAGAACACCGGUGGCGAAGGCGGCCAGCUGGACCAUUACUGACGCUGAGGCGCGAAAGCGUGGGGAGCAAACAGG